GACACUCACAUGUCAGGCCCAUGAAUGUGUGUGACUUUGUGACUUAUAUAUUAUAUAUGUGCCCUCAAACACAAGAUGCUGCUGUGGCAAGAUAAAAUGAGACUUCUAAACAGCGCGCGAGAUUUGAGGGUCUGAGGAAUAAUUUGACGAUAUUUGAAGGUCUACUUCACAAAAGUAGAAAUAGUGGGAAGACCCACCCCAAACCUGGGCUGUACCUUCUGGUGGCAACCCACAUAAAAGGACAUGGAAGAAGGAAGCUUUUACCUUUUGCCUUCUUGACCUACUCUCAAGGGCAGGUUCAUCUACCCUGCUGCUGAGGUAUUCCUUUGCUGGUAUUAGGACCUGCCUCUUCAGGAUUCUGAUGCAGACUGAAGAUCAGAAGCUCUGUAGGAAUUCUCCAGGGCCCCAGCACCAGACUGGGGUUGCUGAGAAUAGUCUGGACUGAACAACUCUAGGAAUCUUGGCCUUUCCAUCGGGAGACACCUGUUAUUGGACUACAUGACUGCAGCCUGUAAAACUCUCUAAUAAACCCCCUUUAUAUGCAUGCAUGACUGUGUGCAUGCUCGUGUGU
This is a long non-coding RNA of Peromyscus californicus insignis, 571 nucleotides long. RefSeq lists it as uncharacterized. NCBI's taxonomy places the organism in Eukaryota, Metazoa, Chordata, Mammalia, Rodentia, Cricetidae. The record is from RefSeq and is a predicted model, not a curated record. The transcript has 2 exons.